AGUGAACGCUGUCGUUAGGCCUAACAUAUGCAAUUCUAACGGCAGCACAUUAAGAUCUUGCUCUUACUGGUGGCGAGUGGCGGACGGGUUAGGAAUAAAUCGGAAGCUACUUUUUCGUGGGGGAUAACGUAGGGAAACUUACGCUAAUACCGCAUACAACCUACGUUUGAAAUCAGAGUAUCUUCGUACCUUUCGCAAUUUAAUGAGCCGAUGUCGGAUUAGCUAGUUGGCGGGGUAAAGGCCCACCAAGGCGACGAUCCGUAGCUGGUCUGAGAGGAUGAUCAGCCACACUAGAACUGAGACACGGUACAGACUCCUACGGGAGGCAGCAGUGGGGAAUAUUGGACAAUGGGCGCAAGCAUGCUACAGCCAUACCGCGUGGGUGAAGAAGGCCUUCGGGUUGUAAAGCCCUUUUGUUGGGAAAGAAAAGCAGCAGGUUAAUACCCCGCUGUUCUGACGGUACCCAAAGAAUAAGCACCGGCUAACUUCGUG
RNAcentral lists this ribosomal RNA (492 nucleotides) under uncultured bacterium. Its description in RNAcentral is "partial 16S ribosomal RNA". It matches the Rfam family "Bacterial small subunit ribosomal RNA", at positions 29 to 507 of the family's 1533-position model. The record is from RNAcentral.